GCAGCGCGCACAAGGAGGGAGGGGCCGCCUUUGUCUACUUUGCCGCAGAGGCAGCCCCCCACCACCCCUCCCCCCGCGCCCCGCCGGGCCCUGCACAGCCCGGGUUUUCCAUCCGGCCCGGCUCGGCUCGGCAGCUGUCAGGGGACCGAGCUGACCUUCGCGAGCAGGGAGUUUCAAUUAGCCGCAGAUCAGAUAAGCGGGCGGGCCCGUCUCUCCGGGCACCGCGGGGGCGCAGCCCCGCCCCCGCCACGCCGCGCCAAACGCGCUCCAGAUGGGAACAAAGAUGAGGACGCAGCUCCACCUGCCUCCCCGGGGAGGGGGGAAGAGGAGGCCCCGCCGGGAGGAGCUUCCCACCGGAGGAAAGGGUUGCGCGCCCUCCCCUGCCCGUCUAGGAUCUCAGGCCCGGGCAGGGGUCUAGUCAAGACGAUCUUUGCGGCUCUGCUUGCCUCCUGCACUGCAGAGAGGUGCCUGCCGCACUGACCUCAUCCCCAGGCGGGCAUCGUGCCCUCCCUCCUCCGGAAAGAACCUUUUACCAUCUUUGAUCUCAUCCAGAGCUCUCCCUAAGAGGCUGAGAAGAGGCAGAGCCCAACAGAAAAAGGAAACUGAGGUAGAGAGGGCCUAGGACUUCCUGAUCCAGGUCACACCAACUACAACAUUCUUUCAGAUGUUUAUUGAGUGCCUACUAAGUGCCAGGCACUAUUUAGACUAUGGGGACACCAGAAAACAAAAAUAGUAUCCUUCCCAGCCUCACAGAACUUACAUUCUAAUUCAAUGAGACAGACUUUAACCAAGUAAACAAAUACAUAGUUGAACAAGAGCAUUUCUGAGCGUCUGAAGAGCCUUGAAGAUAUUAAAAUAGGUCAUGUGAGACUGAUUUCAGGGAGGGGACCAUGUUAGCUAUGGUAGUCAGAGAGGACCUCACUGAGGCCUGAAAGGCCAGGAGGAGCCAGCCAAGCAAAGGAGAGCGGGUGGAGCAGGCCACUGUGGGCCUGACCUCAGGCCCAAAGGGGAAAGCAGACCAGGGGAGGAGGUCAGGGUUUAUGCAGAGUGCAUUGGGAGCCUUUGGUGGGUUCCAGGCUGGGAGUGACAUGGUCUGACUUAAAUUUUUAAAAGAUCCCUCUGGCUACUGUGUAGAUGGAAGGAAGGCAAAGCUGUAAGCAAGGAGACCAGGGAGGAGGGGGAGAGGAUAGGGCCGGAGGGGGGAGAGGGGAUGGAGGAGGGGUUAUUGGAUUAGUGAUAUAUUUGGCACGUGAAGUGAUUGUGGGGAUGAGGUAGAGCACAGGAAGCUUGGUGAGUGUGCAAGUCAAGAUUUGAACCUAGGUCAGCCUUUGGGAGUGUGGAGGAGCUGCUUGGAGGUGAAGAGCAAAGCUAUGGAGCAAGAAUGCCAGGGUUCAAAUCCCCCUAGUGAUAAUCACCAACUGAGUGACCUGGGGCAAGCAUCUCUAUCAGUUUCCUCAAGCGUUUAAAAAGGAGAAGAAUGAUAAUGGAAAUUGUCAUUGUAAGGUUUGAAUAUGAUAUAACGUGAAAAGUGUGUAUCACAGAGUCUAGUAACUAGUAGGUGC
This 1562-nucleotide long non-coding RNA is filed under the name Equus caballus (horse). Its description in RNAcentral is "lncRNA (ENSECAG00000057601.1)". Lineage: Eukaryota; Metazoa; Chordata; Mammalia; Perissodactyla; Equidae. The record is from RNAcentral.